RNAcentral lists this transfer RNA (90 nucleotides) under Lentisphaerota bacterium. RNAcentral's name for it is "Lentisphaerae bacterium (anaerobic digester metagenome) tRNA-Ser". It matches the Rfam family "tRNA". From Rfam's summary of the family: Transfer RNA (tRNA) molecules are approximately 80 nucleotides in length. Their secondary structure includes four short double-helical elements and three loops (D, anti-codon, and T loops). The record is from RNAcentral. Lineage: Bacteria; Pseudomonadati; Lentisphaerota.
GGAGAGAUGGCUGAGUGGUUUAAGGCAGCGGUCUUGAAAACCGCCGUGUGGGCAACUGCACCGUGGGUUCGACUCCCACUCUCUCCGCCA